Long non-coding RNA from Bradysia coprophila, 226 nucleotides. The record is from RefSeq and is a predicted model, not a curated record. Lineage: Eukaryota; Metazoa; Arthropoda; Insecta; Diptera; Sciaridae.
CACGUUCUAAGAAAGGGCGCGGAAUAAAGCCAUACAAAUAUUUCAAAAUCUUAAUGUCCCCUUCCUUUUUUAAUUUCUCUUUGAAUGUCCUUUCGCUUUAUUUUGUAUUGUGAUUAAAAAUUGUUGUCGUUGUGUGUGUGAUAUAUUUCCGAAUUUUCGUUCUUCGUGUGUACCAAUCUAUCCUAUAUUAUAUCGAUGCUUGAAGCAUUCAUUUUAUUAAAAUUUA